CUAAUGGUCAAACACCUUAUCAGGAGGAUCCUGCAUCUAACAAUGUGAAGUUAAAAGGAGGUCAAACACCUUAUCAGGAGGAUCCUGCAUCUAACAAUGUGAAGUUAAAAUGAGGUCAAACACCUUAUCAGGAGGAUCCUGCACC
Long non-coding RNA from Limulus polyphemus (Atlantic horseshoe crab), 145 nucleotides. RefSeq lists it as uncharacterized. NCBI's taxonomy places the organism in Eukaryota, Metazoa, Arthropoda, Merostomata, Xiphosura, Limulidae. The transcript is spliced from 2 exons. The record is from RefSeq and is a predicted model, not a curated record.